This is a long non-coding RNA of Rhododendron vialii, 568 nucleotides long. RefSeq lists it as uncharacterized. The transcript is spliced from 2 exons. NCBI's taxonomy places the organism in Eukaryota, Viridiplantae, Streptophyta, Magnoliopsida, Ericales, Ericaceae. The record is from RefSeq and is a predicted model, not a curated record.
UGCAUUAGGGCUAUAUGUAUCAACACAAACCAAGAGAACACUUCACUUUCCCCUUUUUCUUUUUUUUUAACGGAAGCUCUCUCUCCCUCCUCUCCCUUUCUCUCGGUCUCCUCUCUCUCACUCCCUCAACCAAAUUCUUGCUACUCCACCAUCAAUCCUUGAAAACCCACGCACAGGUCUUCAUCCUCGGCCCUCUCGGCCCUCGGAUCGCGUGGGAAGAGCUCGGUGGAGGCAUAUUUCGGAUUUGGAGGCUAGGGUUUGGUUUGAGCUCAAAGCUUGGUCUUGAUACUUGAGGUACUCGCCAUGGCUCUUAUCUUGGAUUGCAUGGAGUGCACGUUGAGACGUCUCUUAAGGACUUCAUUGGAACCUUUAAGGAGUGGUUUAUCAUCAAGUUUAAUUCAUGUCAUGUACUUUGCUUGCAAUUGAAGGUUGUAUCUUUUGAUUAGAUCAUAUGUAAAGCUAUGUACAAACUCCUCUCCUUGAUUAUUAUGAAACUCAUUUAAUUGUAAACGUUUGGGGAGACUUUAUAAUAAAUAAAUAAAUAAAUUUUAGAGAGAAGAAGAAGAGA